GAUCUGACAUUGGCCAAAGAUCUUUCUCCUUCAUCUGAUCAUGGCUUUUACCACUGCAAUCAAAACCCUAGGUCUAAAAUCCUAAAAUGCAAACAUACCAUGGAAGGGUCCUCGGCUCAUGCAAAUCCGGUUCCCAUGGGUGGAACCGGUUUGAUCUCAGCCGGAGGUGACCAGAGAAGAAGAAAGUGAAGAGGAUUCUCCCAUCUCCCGGUCGUGGACGCCAUCGGGUUGACCACGGGCGGCAGUCGCAGAGCCGGCCGUGGGCUGUGCGGGCACCCUAGGUGUGGCCGCACACCCUGCAUUCACCACCGGCUUCGGCUGGUUUCUCUGCUCCUCGAAAAGUGCCCGUGCCCUAUCUCCUCCAUCGGAGGUGGAGGAGAGCGGCCAGCCGGGCCGCGGCUGCUGCGGAUCGGACCGUGGUCGCCGCGGGCGCCGCUGGUUGGCCGCAGCGCCACCGAUUCCGGGUCGGCUUCCUCCCGAGCAUUUCCGAGCUUGCCCCCUGCCCCAUGGGAAGAGAGGAGAAGAGGAGGGAGGGGAGAUCGGGACGGGAGGAAGAAAGGAGGAGAAGAAGCUUCGGGAAGGGAGAAGAGAAGAAAAAGAAAGAAAAAGGAAAAGAAAGGAAAAGAAGAAAAGAAAGAAAAGAAAAGAAGAAAGAAAAAUAAAUAAAAAAUGGCUGUGGGCCGAAAUGGGCCUGAUUCCGGAGUGGGCUUCAAAUAAAUUUGGCUUUAGAAGCCUGAGGCCAGGCUGGGCCCUGGUCCGAGCCCAGUGUUCUUAAAACCAAAACUAACUGAGCCUGAAGAGCUCAAAUUUUAAUAUAGGGACUAUAUUGAAUAUAGUUUGAGGCUAGGUUCUCUUUAAAUUAAUUAGAACUGAUAAGAUCAAUAGUAUUUUUGGGCCUGAAUACAAGUGGGCCCAGUAAUUAAAUCAGGCCAAAGGCCUUAUUUGGAACCCAAUUAAACAUCAGGCCUGAAUGCAAAUGGGCCCAGACCUGAACCAGAGGGCAAUUUGGUCUAAACCAGAAGUGGAAUUGGCUCGGACCUGAAUCAGAGGUUGAAUCAGAUCUGAACCAGAAGCUGAAUCAGACCUGAGCCAGAAAUUAAAUCAAAUCCGAACUAGGAAGUAAAUUAGACCAGAACCCGAAAUUGAAUUGGGCCAUGGGCCUGAACCAGAAGUUGAAUUAGGCUAUGGACCUGAAAAUGAAAUUGAGUCCUAUAAAUGGAUUGUAAACGGGUUAAUUAAGAAAGAAUGUAAAUAAAUGAAGUUGAACAUGCAAUUAACAAGUAAUUUGAUAAUGUUAUUAGGUAAUUGAAGAAUCGGCACCCAAACCUAAGGU
RNAcentral lists this long non-coding RNA (1333 nucleotides) under Phoenix dactylifera (date palm). RNAcentral's name for it is "long non-coding RNA (PDAC_LNC014980)". The record is from RNAcentral. Lineage: Eukaryota; Viridiplantae; Streptophyta; Magnoliopsida; Arecales; Arecaceae.